This 482-nucleotide ribosomal RNA is filed under the name uncultured bacterium. RNAcentral's name for it is "partial 16S ribosomal RNA". It matches the Rfam family "Bacterial small subunit ribosomal RNA", at positions 29 to 507 of the family's 1533-position model. The record is from RNAcentral.
AUUGAACGCUGGCGGCAGGCUUUACACAUGCAAGUCGAACGGUAACAGGCCGCAAGGUUCUGACGAGUGGCGAACGGGCGAGUAAUGCAUCGGAACGCGCCCAGUCGUGGGGGAUAACUACUCGAAAGAGUAGCUAAUACCGCAUACGAUCUAUGGAUGAAAGCGGGGGACCGUAAGGCCUCGCGCGAAUGGAGCGGCCGAUGUUAGAUUAGGUAGGUGGUGGGGUAAAGGCUGACGAAGCCAACGGUCUGUAGCGGGACGGAGAGGACGACCAGCCACACCGGCACUGGGACACGGCCCCGACUCCUACGGCGGGCGGCCGUGGGGGUUUUUGGACAAUGUGCGCAAGCCUGAUCCUGCACUGCCGCGUGCACGAAGAGGGCCUUCGGGUUGUAGACUGCUUUUGUGCGGAACGAAACGGCUCUGGUUAAUACCCGGGGCUAAUGGCGGUACCGUAAGAAUAAGCACCGGCUAACUACGUG